GCCUUGUUGUCAAUAUGGUCUCUAAAACAAGAUUAGCCUGUUAUCCCUAAGGUAGCUUUUUCUAUGGGUCAGUAAUUCUGGAUCUAAGAAAAGAUUAAGAUUUUUCUAGUUGCCCCAACUAAGAUUUUUAAGUAGUUAAGUUAAUUAUUAAUCUAAGCUCUAUAGGGUCUUUUCGUCUUUUUAAUUAAGACAAGUCUCUUCACUUGUAGGCCAAUUUCUAUAAUAUUAAUAUGAGACAGGGAAGCUUACGUAUAUUCAUUCAUUCCAGCCAUCAAUUAAACGGCAAAUGAUUAUGC
RNAcentral lists this ribosomal RNA (296 nucleotides) under Rhynchospio darwini. RNAcentral's name for it is "partial 16S ribosomal RNA". Lineage: Eukaryota; Metazoa; Annelida; Polychaeta; Spionida; Spionidae. The record is from RNAcentral.